This 743-nucleotide ribosomal RNA is filed under the name Rhodococcus sp. WB-12. RNAcentral describes it as "bacterial SSU rRNA". It matches the Rfam family "Bacterial small subunit ribosomal RNA", at positions 17 to 774 of the family's 1533-position model. The record is from RNAcentral. Lineage: Bacteria; Bacillati; Actinomycetota; Actinomycetes; Mycobacteriales; Nocardiaceae.
UCCUGGCUCAGGACGAACGCUGGCGGCGUGCUUAACACAUGCAAGUCGAGCGGUAAGGCCUUUCGGGGUACACGAGCGGCGAACGGGUGAGUAACACGUGGGUGAUCUGCCCUGCACUUCGGGAUAAGCCUGGGAAACUGGGUCUAAUACCGGAUAUGACCUCCUAUCGCAUGGUGGGUGGUGGAAAGAUUUAUCGGUGCAGGAUGGGCCCGCGGCCUAUCAGCUUGUUGGUGGGGUAAUGGCCUACCAAGGCGACGACGGGUAGCCGACCUGAGAGGGUGACCGGCCACACUGGGACUGAGACACGGCCCAGACUCCUACGGGAGGCAGCAGUGGGGAAUAUUGCACAAUGGGCGAAAGCCUGAUGCAGCGACGCCGCGUGAGGGAUGACGGCCUUCGGGUUGUAAACCUCUUUCAGCCAGGGACGAAGCGCAAGUGACGGUACCUGCAGAAGAAGCACCGGCUAACUACGUGCCAGCAGCCGCGGUAAUACGUAGGGUGCAGAGCGUUGUCCGGGAAUUACUGGGCGUAAAGAGUUCGUAGGCGGUUUGUCGCGUCGUUUGUGAAAACCAGCAGCUCAACUGCUGGCUUGCAGGCGAUACGGGCAGACUUGAGUACUGCAGGGGAGACUGGAAUUCCUGGUGUAGCGGUGAAAUGCGCAGAUAUCAGGAGGAACACCGGUGGCGAAGGCGGGUCUCUGGGCAGUAACUGACGCUGAGGAACGAAAGCGUGGGUAGCGAACA